AGAGUUUGAUCCUGGCUCAGAUUGAACGCUGGCGGCGUGCUUAACACAUGCAAGUCGAACGCGAAAGGGACUUCGGUCCUGAGUAAAGUGGCGCACGGGUGAGUAACGCGUGGAUAAUCUGCCCUUAUGAUCGGGAUAACAGUUGGAAACGGCUGCUAAUACCGGAUACGCUCAAGAUGAACUUUUUGAGGAAAGAUGGCCUCUGCUUGCAUGCUAUCGCGUAAGGAUGAGUCCGCGUCCCAUUAGCUUGUUGGCGGGGUAACGGCCCACCAAGGCAACGAUGGGUAGCCGAUUUGAGAGGAUGAUCGGCCACACUGGAACUGAAACACGGUCCAGACUCCUACGGGAGGCAGCAGUGGGGAAUAUUGCGCAAUGGGCGAAAGCCUGACGCAGCGACGCCGCGUGAGGGGUGAAGGUUUUCGGAUCGUAAACCUCUGUCAGAAGGGAAGAAACUACGUUGUGCUAAUCAGCAGCGUACUGACGGUACCUUCAAAGGAAGCACCGGCUAACUCCGUGCCAGCAGCCGCGGUAA
Molecule: ribosomal RNA, 532 nt
Filed under: uncultured bacterium
Lineage: Bacteria
Description: bacterial SSU rRNA
Rfam family: Bacterial small subunit ribosomal RNA
Source: RNAcentral